RNAcentral lists this ribosomal RNA (759 nucleotides) under uncultured bacterium. RNAcentral describes it as "bacterial SSU rRNA". It matches the Rfam family "Bacterial small subunit ribosomal RNA", at positions 71 to 808 of the family's 1533-position model. The record is from RNAcentral.
AAGUCCCCUUCGGGGGGCAAGUAGAGUGGCGCACGGGUGAGUAACACGUAGGUAAUCUACCUUUGGAUUGGGAAUAACAACCGGAAACGGUUGCUAAUACCGAAUAAUGCAGCGGCACCUAAUGGUGACAGUUGUUAAAGCGGGGGAUCGAAAGACCUCGCGUCUGAAGAGGAGCCUGCGGCAGAUUAGCUAGUUGGUAAGGUAACGGCUUACCAAGGCGAUGAUCUGUAGCCGGCCUGAGAGGGCGGUCGGCCACACUGACACUGACAUACGGGUCAGACUCCUACGGGAGGCAGCAGUCGGGAAUUUUGGGCAAUGGGCGAAAGCCUGACCCAGCAACGCCGCGUGAAGGAUGAAAUCCUUCGGGAUGUAAACUUCGCAAGAACGGGAAGAAUAAGUAAGAGUUAAUAUCUCUUACGAUGACGGUACUGUUUGUAAGCUCCGGCUAACUCCGUGCCAGCAGCCGCGGUAAUACGGGGGGAGCAAGCGUUGUUCGGAUUUACUGGGCGUAAAGGGCGCGUAGGCGGCCACCGCAAGUCGACUGUGAAAUCUCCGGGCUUAACCCGGAAAGGUCAGCCGAUACUGCGGGGCUAGAGUGCAGAAGGGGCAACUGGAAUUCUCGGUGUAGCGGUGAAAUGCGUAGAUAUCGAGAGGAACACCUGCGGCGAAGGCGGGUUGCUGGGCUGACACUGACGCUGAGGCGCGAAAGCUAGGGGAGCGAACGGGAUUAGAUACCCCCGGUAGUCCUAGCCUUAAACG